Oryza punctata is the source of this 4389-nucleotide non-coding RNA. NCBI's taxonomy places the organism in Eukaryota, Viridiplantae, Streptophyta, Magnoliopsida, Poales, Poaceae. The record is from Rfam.
CCCGCUGAGUUUAAGCAUAUAAAUAAGCGGAGGAGAAGAAACUUACGAGGAUUCCCCUAGUAACGGCGAGCGAACCGGGAGAUGCCCAGCUUGAGAAUCGGGCGGCCGCGCCGUCCGAAUUGUAGUCUGGAGAGGCGUCCUCAGCGACGGACCGGGCCCAAGUCCCCUGGAAAGGGGCGCCUGGGAGGGUGAGAGCCCCGUCCGGCCCGGACCCUGUCGCCCCACGAGGCGCCGUCAACGAGUCGGGUUGUUUGGGAAUGCAGCCCAAAUCGGGCGGUAAACUCCGUCCAAGGCUAAAUACAGGCGAGAGACCGAUAGCGAACAAGUACCGCGAGGGAAAGAUGAAAAGGACUUUGAAAAGAGAGUCAAAGAGUGCUUGAAAUUGCCGGGAGGGAAGCGGAUGGGGGCCGGCGAUGCGCCCCGGCCGUAUGCGGAACGGCUCCGGCUGGUCCGCCAAUCGGCUCGGGGCGUGGACCGUUGUCGGCCGCGCCGGCGGCCAAAGCCCGGGGGCCCCGCGCCCCCGGUAGCCGUCGUCGGCGCAGCCGGUCACCGCGCGCCUCUGGCGCGCCCCUCGGGGCGCUGCGCUGCAACGGCCUGCGGGCUCCCCAUCCGACCCGUCUUGAAACACGGACCAAGGAGUCUGACAUGCGUGCGAGUCGACGGGUUCUGAAACCUGGGAUGCGCAAGGAAGCUGACGAGCGGGAGGCCCUCACGGGCCGCACCGCUGGCCGACCCUGAUCUUCUGUGAAGGGUUCGAGUUGGAGCACGCCUGUCGGGACCCGAAAGAUGGUGAACUAUGCCUGAGCGGGGCGAAGCCAGAGGAAACUCUGGUGGAGGCUCGAAGCGAUACUGACGUGCAAAUCGUUCGUCUGACUUGGGUAUAGGGGCGAAAGACUAAUCGAACCAUCUAGUAGCUGGUUGUCACACCCUGGAGUUUCCCCUUCUAGCUCUAAAUCAAUAAAAUAAAUUGCCUAAAAGAAAUUGUUUAUUUAACCAGGAGCAAACCCUAAAUUAACAAUGUGCGUAAUAAUCGGAAUUGCCAGGGAGAAUUUUUCUUUUCGAAUUCUCCUUGAUUAAAAACGUUAACAGGACUUUCAACGGAAUAUGUAGAGCAGACGAAGUAAUAAUUUUAAUUUAAAAUAUCAGGAUUUGAAUUAAUAAUUCCUUCCUUCCCCUCCUUUGGUCAUGAACCGUUCCCGGUUCACUCUCCCAGUUUGCGAAUCGUUAUAUCCGCUGACCCCUUUUGUCGCCACGGUUUCGUUUUGUAUGACGAGCCAAGUCCUACUCUUAUUCCGGUUCAGUUUCUUGUUUCUUUCCCAAAAUGGCACCGUAUUUGUUUCCCUCACCUUUCCUUUUUACGUCACUUUUUCUCCGUAUUCUUUCCCCCCCUCUUGUCGAGCGUCUUCUCUCUUCUCCCUGCCGUGCGCCACUCCCUUUCUUGGGCCGGCCCAACCAGCACCCCCUCCUCCACCUCUAUAAAAGCCACUCCACCCCCUCCCCUGUGCCCCCAACCCUAGCCGCCGGCUGCCCUAGCCACAGCUGCCGUGCCGCCGCUAUGCCCUAGCCGCCGCUGCCAUGCCGCCGCUUUGCCCUAGCCGCCGGCUCCCCUAGCCACUGCUGCAUGCCGCCGGCUACCCUAGCCGCUGCUGCCCUAGCCGCUGGCUGCCCUAGCCGCUGCCUCGCAGCCGCUAGCCGCUGCUGCAGUGUCGUGUCGCUGCUGCGUUGCCACGCCAUGCCGUGCCGCUGCCGCUGCCCUACCCACGCUACCGCUACAGCCGCCGCCGUGCUGCUUGCUGCGUCGCUGCUGCCGUACCGCACGCAGCCGCUGCAUUGCUGUCGCUGCCGUGCCGCUGCCGUAUCGCACGCAGCCGCCGCUGCUGCCGUACCUCACGCUACCGUGUUGUCGCUGCUAUGCCACUGCCGCUGCCCUAGCUGUUACUGCACCGCUACCAUGUUGCCACUGCCAUGCCGGGUGCCACCGCCACCGCUUUGCCGUGCCGCUGCCCUAACCCUAGCUGCAUUGCCAAGUCGUUAGCCGUGCUGCCGACCCGUUACCGUGGCACUUGCCGCGCCAUUAGCCGCCUAAAACCCUAGCUACGUAGCAGCCGCCUAGCCGUGUUGGUUUACUGACCUCGCUACCGCCGCACCUAGCCAUAGCCGCAGCCGUGCCCUCACCGUGGUACGUAUCAUUCACUAGCCACUCGCUGCUUACGCUCGCGCAUAGUGUGGCAUCGUGUCAUAUCGGGUUGGUCGUACCGAGUCGUUCUAAAACCCUAGAGCCUUUCUGAGCCGCCGGUUCUGUUCGCCGGUUCGGUUGACCGUUUGCGUGGUCCCGUGCCACGGUAGGUUGACUCUUGAGUCGCUGACCCGUGAGGCUCGUUAACCGAGGUUUGUUUUCCGUUAACCUUGUCCGUUCGCGGGCUUUAAAGCAUAUCAAUUAAGUAAGGUUUUUCGGUUAAUAGUAAUUACAUAGUUCAUGUUCUAAAAUUCAUAACUAAUUCAUACGAACUCCAAAUUGGGCCAUUCAUCUUGCAAAAUUCAUCUAAAGUUGAGCUCUACAUGUUUGUUUACUUUUUAUGUACUGUUUAUUUGGUUUCUAUUAGAGUUUUUCCUUGUUUUGCGUUCCAACAUGUAGAUUCCGCUGUUUCGGAUGAUCGCGGUCGCGAGGAAAAGAGUUUGGAAGAUCAAUCGAAGACGCGAGGCAAGUCACACAUUCCCCUUGAGCAUUUUGAUCCCAAUUUAUAAAAUGUUUUACUGUUUACAAAUAAAUUGCAUGGUUUGUUAAUUACAUGGGAAUAGGGUUUACCAAUCUGCUUGCUUGAGCCAUAUUUACUUGAUGUCCUUUCUCUGUCAAACUUGGGUGAUAACUUGACUAGCUUGCAUCUCAUGUGGACCUCGCUAGAACUAUAUUAUGCUUAGCUAUGCUUAAAACCACUAGCUCACAAUAUGGGAUAAUCACAUUAUCUAUUUCUAGUAUCUUGAUGAGCUGCGGGCUCGAGACAUGCCGGCCACGUUUCGUUGGUCGUAAUUAACCAACUAAAAUAUGGCUUAAUGGUGGGCUGUGGGUGUAUGGUUUUGCUAGUCGCACCCAUGGGAAUUAAGGACCGGUUCUCGGGAAACCCUGGAAGACUAACAGUGCUUACCACAAGCAGGCAUGGGUAACUAUUGGACUUGUAGUGCAGCUUUUCCCUAGCUGACUCAUCCAGGCAAGGGUGGGCGUGAUGGAGUUAGAAGACCAAGGCUUAUACCCCAAUUGAGUUUUGCCUGUCGAGUGGAGCUGAAGCCUCGCUAGGAUCGUCCGUUUUUUUCCGCUGCUGUUUUCUUUUCGGUGUGAAGACUAAGUGCUUCUUCUGUAAGUAUUUACGCUUUAUUUACGUUUGGAUCUGUAUAUUAAUUUGUCGUUUUGUGCACCCUGUCUUGAUUCCUGGACAGGGAUUUAUACGCAAAAUUGUCUGGAAAUUUGGGAUAAAUUUCUGGGCGUGACACUGGUUCCCUCCGAAGUUUCCCUCAAGAUAGCUGGAGCCCAUUACGAGUUCUAUCGGGUAAAGCCAAUGAUUAGAGGCAUCAGGGGCGCAACGCCCUCGACCUAUUCUCAAACUUUAAAUAGGUAGGACGGCGCGGCUGCUCCGGUGAUCCGCGCCACGGAAUCGGGAGCUCCAAGUGGGCCAUUUUUGGGAAGCACAACUGGCGAUGCGGGAUGAACUGGAAGCCUGGUUACGGUGCCAAACUGCGUGCUAACCUAGAACCCACAAAGGGUGUUGGUCGAUUAAGAUAGCAGGACGGUGGUCAUGGAAGUCGAAAUCCGUUAAGGAGUGUAUAACAACUCACCUGCCGAAUCAACUAGCCUCGAAAAUGGAUGGCCCUGAGGCGCACGACCCACACCAGGCCAUCUGGGCGAGCGCCAUGCCCCGAUGAGUAGGAAGGCGCGGCGGCCGCCGCAAAACCCGGGGCGCGAGCCCGGGAGGAGCGGCCGUCGGUGUAGAUCUUAGUGGUAGUAGCAAAUAUUCAAAUGAGAACUUUGAAGGCCAAAGAGGAGAAAGGUUCCAUGUGAACGGCACUUGCACAUGGGUAAGCCGAUCCUAAGGGACGGGGUUACCCCAGCAGAGAGCGCGACCACGCGCGUGCCCCGAAAGGGAAUCGGGUUAAGAUUUCCCGAGCCGGGAUGUGGCGGUUGACGACGACGUUAGGAAGUCCGGAGACGCCGGCGGGGGCCUCGGGAAGACUUAAGAUCAUUUUUAGUCCUGGUUGGUAACACCAACCGGGACUAAAAAUCCGGUUUUUAGUUGAACCGGGAGUAUUGUGGAUUUUGGACGACCCGGCAAAGAUCACUUCUCUAGUAGUGCAGUAAAGGUACCUGAAGUGCAAAGUCGGGGUCGAAAUCCAUUGUUU